This 495-nucleotide ribosomal RNA is filed under the name uncultured bacterium. Its description in RNAcentral is "bacterial SSU rRNA". It matches the Rfam family "Bacterial small subunit ribosomal RNA", at positions 29 to 499 of the family's 1533-position model. The record is from RNAcentral.
AACUAACGCUGGCGGCGUGCCUAACACAUGCAAGUCGAACGAGAAAGUUGGCUUCGGCCGAUGAGUAAAGUGGCGCACGGGUGAGUAACGCGUGGAUAAUCUGCCCUUUAGUUUGGAAUAACGUACCGAAAGGUGCGCUAAUACCGGAUAAUACUGAAUGACUACUGUCGUUUAGUCAAAGAAGGCUUCUGUUUACAUGCUUUUGCUGAAGGAUGAGUCCGCGUACCAUUAGCUAGUUGGUAGGGUAAUGGCCUACCAAGGCGACGAUGGUUAGCUGGUCUGAGAGGAUGAUCAGCCACACUGGAACUGAGACACGGUCCAGACUCCUACGGGAGGCAGCAGUGAGGAAUAUUGCGCAAUGGGGGCAACCCUGACGCAGCAACGCCGCGUGAGUGAGGAAGGUUUUCGGACCGUAAAGCUCUGUCGAGCGGGAAGAAUGCAUGGUGGCUAAUAUCCAGUCAUGCUUGACGGUACCGCUAAAGGAAGCACCGGGUA